Molecule: ribosomal RNA, 206 nt
Filed under: uncultured bacterium
Lineage: Bacteria
Description: partial 16S ribosomal RNA
Rfam family: Bacterial small subunit ribosomal RNA
Source: RNAcentral
UGCGCAGGCGGUUAUGUAAGACAGAGGUGAAAUCCCCGGGCUCAACCUGGGAACUGCCUUUGUGACUGCAUAGCUGGAGUGCGGCAGAGGGGGAUGGAAUUCCGCGUGUAGCAGUGAAAUGCGUAGAUAUGCGGAGGAACACCGAUGCGAAGGCAAUCCCCUGGGCCUGCACUGACGCUCAUGCACGAAAGCGUGGGGAGCAAACA